Molecule: transfer RNA, 74 nt
Filed under: Gemmatales bacterium
Lineage: Bacteria; Pseudomonadati; Planctomycetota; Planctomycetia; Gemmatales
Description: tRNA-Arg
Rfam family: tRNA
About the family: Transfer RNA (tRNA) molecules are approximately 80 nucleotides in length.
Source: RNAcentral
GCGCCCAUAGCUCAACUGGACAGAGCACUGGUCUACGGAACCAGAGGUUGCAGGUUCGAAUCCUGCUGGGCGUG